UGGGGAAUAUUGCACAAUUGAGGGAACUCUGAUGCAGCGACGCCGCGUGAACGAAGAAGGCUUUCGAGUCGUAAAGUUCUUUUAUAUGGGAAGAUAAUGACGGUACCAUAAGAAAAAGCCCCGGCUAACUACGUGCCAGCAGCCGCGGUAAUACGUAGGGGGCUAGCGUUGUCCGGAAUCACUGGGCGUAAAGGGUUCGCAGGCGGAAAUGCAAGUCAGGUGUAAAAGGCAGUAGCUUAACUACUGUAAGCAUUUGAAACUGCAUAUCUUGAGAAGAGUAGGGGUAAGUGGAAUUUUUAGUGUAGCGGUGAAAUGCGUAGAUAUUAAAAAGAAUACCGGUGGCGAAGGCGACUUACUGGGCUCAUUCUGACGCUGAGGAACGAAAGCGUGGGUAGCAAACAGG
This 403-nucleotide ribosomal RNA is filed under the name Verrucomicrobiota bacterium. RNAcentral's name for it is "Verrucomicrobia bacterium partial 16S ribosomal RNA". It matches the Rfam family "Bacterial small subunit ribosomal RNA", at positions 355 to 776 of the family's 1533-position model. Lineage: Bacteria; Pseudomonadati; Verrucomicrobiota. The record is from RNAcentral.